This 77-nucleotide transfer RNA is filed under the name Clostridiales bacterium. RNAcentral's name for it is "tRNA-His". It matches the Rfam family "tRNA". Rfam says of the family: Transfer RNA (tRNA) molecules are approximately 80 nucleotides in length. Their secondary structure includes four short double-helical elements and three loops (D, anti-codon, and T loops). Further hydrogen bonds mediate the characteristic L-shaped molecular structure. tRNAs have two regions of fundamental functional importance: the anti-codon, which is responsible for specific mRNA codon recognition, and the 3' end, to which the tRNAs corresponding amino acid is attached (by aminoacyl-tRNA synthetases). tRNAs cope with the degeneracy of the genetic code in two manners: having more than one tRNA (with a specific anti-codon) for a particular amino acid; and 'wobble' base-pairing, i.e. permitting non-standard base-pairing at the 3rd anti-codon position. Lineage: Bacteria; Bacillati; Bacillota; Clostridia; Eubacteriales. The record is from RNAcentral. RNAcentral also lists the same sequence under 4 other names.
GUGGGUAUAGCUCAGUUGGUUAGAGCGCCAGAUUGUGGCUCUGGAGGUCGUGAGUUCGACUCUCAUUACCCACCCCA